GCUCGCGCUGUUUCGCACGCAACUGUCAAGUUCUUCUCCGGCCAGGGCCGUCCGCCAUGGCUGCCAACCGUGAGCUCCGCCUCUACCUCCUUCAUGUUGCUGCGAGCCCUCCUCUUGACACGAUCCGACCAGUAGCAUACUGAUCUGGCGUUGAGAGAUGUUUCACUUAGCCCAUGAGAUCUUCCUAAUCGUCAAUAGCAGAUCCACACACGGGCCUCGGCCCAGUUCUUCCCGAUGAAGCCCGCUGCUCUGCGCGUCCAGCAGCCAGGUUCUCUCCGAUGCAGCAGCAGGCC
Lolium rigidum is the source of this 293-nucleotide long non-coding RNA. RefSeq lists it as uncharacterized. NCBI's taxonomy places the organism in Eukaryota, Viridiplantae, Streptophyta, Magnoliopsida, Poales, Poaceae. The transcript is spliced from 3 exons. The record is from RefSeq and is a predicted model, not a curated record.